UCGCAGCCCGGCUUGAACGGAGCUCUUUUUGUGGAGCAAAGCGGAACAAAAAAGCGGGAGUGGAAGACGGAUUAAGC
This 77-nucleotide non-coding RNA is filed under the name Epilithonimonas pallida. RNAcentral also lists the same sequence under 2 other names. Lineage: Bacteria; Pseudomonadati; Bacteroidota; Flavobacteriia; Flavobacteriales; Weeksellaceae. The record is from RNAcentral.